Molecule: ribosomal RNA, 253 nt
Filed under: uncultured bacterium
Lineage: Bacteria
Description: partial 16S ribosomal RNA
Rfam family: Bacterial small subunit ribosomal RNA
Source: RNAcentral
GACGAAGGGGGCUAGCGUUGCUCGGAAUCACUGGGCGUAAAGGGUGCGUAGGCGGGUUUUUAAGUCAGAGGUGAAAUCCUGGAGCUCAACUCCAGAACUGCCUUUGAUACUGAGAAUCUUGAGUACGGGAGAGGUGAGUGGAACUGCGAGUGUAGAGGUGAAAUUCGUAGAUAUUCGCAGGAACACCAGUGGCGAAGGCGGCUCACUGGCCCGUAACUGACGCUGAGGCGCGAAAGCGUGGGGAGCAAACAGG